GAUGAAAGAGGGGGGCGUGCCUAAUACAUGCAAGUCGAGCGAACGGACGAGAAGCUUGCUUCUCUGAUGUUAGCGGCGGACGGGUGAGUAACACGUGGAUAACCUACCUAUAAGACUGGGAUAACUUCGGGAAACCGUAGCUAAUACCGGAUAAUAUUUUGAACCGCAUGGUUCAAAAGUGAAAGACGGUCUUGCUGUCACUUAUAGAUGGAUCCGCGCUGCAUUAGCUAGUUGGUAAGGUAACGGCUUACCAAGGCAACGAUGCAUAGCCGACCUGAGAGGGUGGUCGGCCACACUGGAACUGAGACACGGUCCAGACUCCUAAGGGAGGCAGCAGUAGGGAAUCUUCCGCAAUGGGCGAAAGCCUGACGGAGCAACGCCGCGUGAGUGAUGAAGGUCUUCGGAUCGUAAAACUCUGUUAUUAGGGAAGAACAUAUGUGUAAGUAACUGUGCACAUCUUGACGGUACCUAAUCAGAAAGCCACGGCUAACUACGUG
Molecule: ribosomal RNA, 497 nt
Filed under: uncultured bacterium
Lineage: Bacteria
Description: partial 16S ribosomal RNA
Rfam family: Bacterial small subunit ribosomal RNA
Source: RNAcentral